GAUGAACGCUGGCGGUAUGCUUAACACAUGCAAGUCGAACGGACUCUUCGGAGUUAGUGGCGGACGGGUGAGUAACGCGUGAGAAUCUGGCUUUGGGUUCGGGACAACCACUGGAAACGGUGGCUAAUACCGGAUGUGCCGAGAGGUAAAAGAGAAAUUGCCUGAAGAUGAGCUCGCGUCUGAUUAGCUAGUUGGUGAGGUAAAGGCUCACCAAGGCAGCGAUCAGUAGCUGGUCUGAGAGGAUGACCAGCCACACUGGGACUGAGACACGGCCCAGAAUCCUACGGGAGGCAGCAGUGGGGAAUUUUCCGCAAUGGGCGAAAGCCUGACGGAGCAAUACCGCGUGAGGGAAGAAGGCUCUUGGGUUGUAAACCUCUUUUCUUAGGGAAGAACAAAAUGACGGUACCUAAGGAAUCAGCAUCGGCUAACUCCGUG
This 435-nucleotide ribosomal RNA is filed under the name uncultured bacterium. RNAcentral's name for it is "partial 16S ribosomal RNA". It matches the Rfam family "Bacterial small subunit ribosomal RNA", at positions 28 to 507 of the family's 1533-position model. The record is from RNAcentral.